GACGAACGCUGGCGGCGUGCCUAACACAUGCAAGUCGAGGGUAGCAAUACACUGGCGCACGGGUGAGUAACGCGUAGGUAAUCUGCCCUUAUCCCAGACAUAACAUCGAGAAAUUGGUGCUAAAAAUCUGAUGAGGCCUGAGGGUCAAAGUAUUCGUACGGAUAAGGAUGAGCCUGCGUCUGAUUAGCUAGUUGGUAAGGUAAUGGCUUACCGAGGCAACGAUCAGUAGCUGGUUUGAGAGGACGGAUCAGCCACACUGGAACUGAGACACGGUCCAGACCUCCUACGGGAGGCAGCAGUGAGGAAUUUUGCGCAAUGGGCGAAAGCCUGACGCAGCAACGCCGCGUGACUGAUUAAGCUCUGAGGAGUGUAAAAGUCUGUCGUAGAGGAAGAAACUAUCCGAAUAAGAAUAUUGUCGGAUACUGACGGUACUCUAUGAGAAGCUCCGGCUAACUCCGUGCCAGCAGCCGCGGUAAA
RNAcentral lists this ribosomal RNA (477 nucleotides) under uncultured bacterium. Its description in RNAcentral is "bacterial SSU rRNA". It matches the Rfam family "Bacterial small subunit ribosomal RNA", at positions 28 to 524 of the family's 1533-position model. The record is from RNAcentral.